Molecule: long non-coding RNA, 9295 nt
Filed under: Medicago truncatula (barrel medic)
Lineage: Eukaryota; Viridiplantae; Streptophyta; Magnoliopsida; Fabales; Fabaceae
Description: long non-coding RNA (MTRU_LNC000681)
Source: RNAcentral
CAGCUUUCCAUUUCUCCAACUUAUCGUUAUUGUGCUUCAAAUUUCGCUUAUGUUUUGCAAAGGCUUGCUUGUAACUCCCGGUCUGCUUCCUCACAUGUGAUGGAUCUAUGUUGUAAAAAACUGGUAUCACAAUCUGUUCCAUAUAUUUCUUGCAUUCAAGAAUCUUUUUGAGCUCAUUCAAGCACCAUUUUGAGGAAGCAUAGUUUUCUGAGAAGAUGACAAUAGAUGCAUGUGACUCCUCAAUGGCUUUGAUGAGUGCUGCCGAGAUCUCAUCUCCUUUUUGAAGCUCAUUGUUGUCUAUAAAGGUUUCAACUUUCUUUCGGCUCAGAGCGUCGUAAAGAUGGCUAGUGAAGUUUCUGCGAGUAUCCUCACCUCGAAAGCUAAGAAAAACCUCAUAUUUUUUCUUAGGGACCACAUCAGAAGAAGAUACAGAGGAAAAAGCACUGCUCAUUUUCUCCUCGUGACGGUUAUGAAUUCCCAGGGCCUGUACUAAGCCACUAAUCACAAUGCUACAAUAAAAAAAAAAAGUAAUGUUUAUUGUGUUCUUGAUACUUUUGACCACACUCAUUCUCGUUGUAAUUAGAGAAACUAGUUGUUAAAUUAAAAUUAAGAAGAAAAAAGAUCAUACCAAAGUCAGAAUCAAGCUUCAUGCAAGAAGACUUUAAAGUCAUAAAUCCCAACAGUAGUAUGGCUUAGCUUCUGCUGGAAUCAAUUUUAGAUGAAAAUUAAUUAAGGAUAAACACACACAAACACUUCAUAUAGAUGUAAUGAUUCAAAAUUAAAAUAUAAAAUAGUAAGUGUGGUUUCGUGGUUAUCCUUCAAGGAAGUUUCGUGGUUUUAUUUUCAGUUUUUCUUUCUUCCUUUGAAUAGUUUCUUUAAAUAUUCAAAUGUGUACGUCGUGGUGUUCUUCAGAAGGUAUGGCCAUCACAUUAUUCUUUAUAACAACCAUAUAAAAAAAAAAAUGACAUUAUGAAUUUGUCAUCAUGUGUGGUCAGAUCAGAUGCAUAAUGUGUAAGACGCCGGCUGAAUAAAAUAUGGCAACAAGAGAAUAUUUAGACAAACAAUGAUGCACAUAAUAUAGUGUGAAUCUAAUUUCCUAUAUUAAACUAAAUAGUUGUUACAUAAGGUUCCAUUUCUUUCUAUUUGUUUUUUUACCAAUCAAAUUAAGUAACCUUUAAACAAAUAUCAUAUAUAGUUGAACCGUUGAAUCUUGAACCUUAUUCACAUGUUCAAUGGCUGGUCCAAUCAUUUGUUUAAUGGUUGGUCCAAUUUAGAAAAUAUUAAUGAAGACGGCCUGCUUUGAUAAAUUAUUUAUUUAAAAACUUAUUUAUAUCCUUUUUUACUAACAAGGAAUUGAGACGUAACCAAAAAAAAAACAAGGAAUUGAGAUGGCCCUCUUCCGAUCUCAUCCCAACCCCACCAAUGGCCAACUUUAAAGCUAUGUUUGGAUUGGUAGAGAGUGGUGGAAUGGAAUUGAAUGAAGUGGGAUAGAUUCACAUUCUAUUGUUUGGUUUUGUAAAAAAAGGAAUAGAAUGGAAUGUAGUGUAAUGGAACUCAUUGCAUCCAAUACCACCUAUUUAACCAAUUUUCCAGUUCCUCCCAAUUUGGGGUGUAUGCAAUGAAAAAACAACAAUCUUCCUAGUAAAUACUAUAAAACAACAAUCAUCACCAAUGGUGGAAAUUAAUCAACAAAAAUUGAAAAAGACUUCCAUAAAAAUGAGUGCCUCAAAAGUAACCUUCAAAAGAUUCAAUUGAUAAGCAAUAAUCCAGCUUAACAUUGAGCUUCUCAUACGUAGCAUUCCAAUUUAUUAUGUCUGAAUUACAAGCAAUCAGAAGUUGAGGACAAGCCUAUAGAAGCUCAAAUUUUUCUGAAUAAAACCAUACCCUACACCGAAUUAGGGCUCUAUGAAGCCUCUAAUACUCGAAACAAUCGAAGAAGCAUUGGGGCUCUAAGACUAAGAAGGAGAAGAUGAAAAGAAACUAGCUACAAAAUUAAAACAUAUGUUUUCAUUGAUUAAUUACAUUCCUAAAGAUACAACACACUUAUCCCCUCUGUUGAACACCACAAUUGUUCCUUGUGACCUUGAAGUAGAAAUUGAAAUGAUAAGUUGCAAAAAUCAUAAAUUUCACUAUCUUGUCUGUUGUGAACAUGCCAGCAUACCAGUACAUAAUCAGAAAUGAAUGUCCCAAGAUAACUGUCACUAAUACAACGUAUGUCGGCUUCUUUUCCGUUUUCAAAGAUAAUACAGUGAACGGCAUCAGGGGCGGUUCUAAGGCCCGGCGACCCCCGGCUCCGGGCCAAAUUUUUUGUGUAAAUCCCUAUGAAUUUCUUAUAUAAACCCCUAUAAAUUGGGCAAUUUCUUUACAUUUUUUAUUAUUUGCUUGCAAUUUCUUAUGUACGCCCUAUAAAUGUGUUGCAAAAAAAUUUUCCGCCCAGGCUUUACAAUAUUCCUGGCUCCGCCACUGAACGGCAUGGUGGUAAACAUUAAAGCCCUCAGAAAGAAUGAUGGAAAAUAUAAAACUGCACAAAUCAGAUUUUGGAAUAGGAGGAAUAAUUAUUGAAGCCUCUAUUGUCUGAAAAUCAAACAUGCAUGCAAUGGAGUCUUCAGAGAAGGUUUGUAACAUGUUAUUAAAAAAUGACGGUUGAAUGGAGUAUGUGUCCAGAUAACUGCAAUUAACGGCAGGGAUGGUGGAAGCUCUGUUAGAGACACAAUUUUCCUGCAAUCAUCUAAAUCAAGCCAUUCCCAACAUUGAAUGGUUUUGGAUAUUGUCGGGGAGAACAUCUAAGUUGCAACACUCUUUCAAUUUUAGCCGUUUUAAAGACUAUAUACCAUCGAGGAUGGACCACAGACUUAAUGCAUCGAUUUCUGUGCACCCUGAAAGGUCUAGUUCGGUAACAAACCCAAGCCCAUGAUCAUCUGAUAACUUCUUCCCAACAGUGUUGAGCUUGUUACACUCAGUUAGACCAAGAGAAGUAAGUUUGCAAUUACGCCAAAUCGAUAAAGAUAAUUCACGUAUAGCAGUGCCAUGUAAGGAUAACUCUGUCAUUUCCUCUGAUGUCACCGAAAAUUCCAUGAGGGAUGAACAACCAUCAACUAAGAGAGAUUUUGAAUGAAAAUUGGUUUUUAGGCUAUGACUCAUGCAAAUCUCUACAAGCAUUUCAGCACAAAAGGUUGAUGGCAAAGAUUCAAGACAGUAUCCAUCCCAUCGAAGGUACCUCAAUUUAUCAGAAAUCCACUCAAGACCAUCGGGAAAGUACACAUUGCAUGUGCUCCCAUCAGAUAUAUUAUAGAUUUUAAGAUAUCUUAUAUUUUUCAUCCUUCUAAAGGAAUCAGACUUCAAUAAAGAUCCCCAACAUCUGUACAAUGGAACGUUAUACCUUCCACAGCUUCAGUUCCCUAAUAAAAACAUUUUUUUUUAAUAAUUAGGAAUGGUUCCCUGAUGAACUUUCCUUGUUAUAUUUCCCUGACGCAUUUUUGUUAUAAUUAGGAAUUGCAAACUCUAUUACCUUGUUGUUUUUCAAUAAUUCAGAUAUUUCUUCAGCCCUCCACAAUCUACUUCUUUUCCCAGGGUCUUUAGAUUCUUGAUUAACAAUCUCCCGACCCAUUUCUUGUAACAAAACAUGCAUUUCUAUUGUAUCAACAUCCAGAUUUACAUGCCAAAUAAGUUUUAGUUCUAUGAGAGCUUUAUCUAGAAGGACUUCUAUCCCAAUUGUUGCAAAGAAUCGACAAGCUUCCAAUACAUGUUUUACAAAAUCUUUAUGCUCUUCUCUCAACAAGCAUGCGAUAUCUAGAAAUAUGGCCUUUUGACAACAAUCUAAGUCAUCAUAACUCAAUUUUAACACAUUAAAAAUUUUCCUAUUGGGAAUCUUUUGGAGCAUUUUCAAUUCAUUGUCCCAUGCUUCCUUGCUUCUUGAACUCGGAUUUGCACCUAAAACUUUUAUAGCCAGAGGAUUGCCUUUGCAAUAGGCAAUUACACUCUCUGAUAGAUCUUCAUAUCCAAUUUUAGGAUGUUUUUCUCCGAAGAUAGUCAAACUCAAUAGUUGAAGAGAAUCAUGUUUGUUCAAUUCCUUAACCUCACAUAUUUGCACAUUUUGUGAAUUGACUAAAUAUGUGUUUAUAUCUAGUUGUAAUAAUGACCCCACUACCCGGUGCCAGUCCAUCAAUUUUUAGCAUAAGAUCUUCUAUUUGCUCUACAGUUUCUCUACACUAUCCAGCACAAUGUAAAAUUCUUUACGUGCAAUCCUUCUCACAGAGAAAGGGGUUUCUACGUGCAAUAAUUCUCACUCUGUUUUUUUAUUUUUUUAUUUUUUUUUCUUCUUUCUAAUCCUUUGAAUAUCUCCAGGUUCUUACUUUAUUGAAGGAAAUGUAACAUGAAGAAAAUAUAAGGAAAUGUAACAUGAAGCAAAAUUUGAGGAAAGAAAAGUUAGGCCUCAUCCUCAAGUAGUAGGAAUGUAGUCCAAUUUUGAUGGCAAAUUACACCCUAUUUCCAUUAACUUUUCAUCGGUAAGAACCAUGUCAUGGACGAGUCUUCAGAUAAGCAGAGACUUUGAGGGAGGAAUAUCUUUGCUCCAAAGUAGGAGCAAUGUGUUUUUUAAAAGAAUAAGUAUCUUUUAAAAGCUAAAUUUCCAUCAGAGGUUCUUUUCCAAAUCAAAGAAUCUUCACAGUCUUCAUCAGGAAUAGUUGCAGCACAAGCAAGCUAAUAGUAGGGAACAUCAACAGGACAUCACGAAGAAUGUUCCAGUGAAAAUUGGUGAAAUAGUAUUAGUCAGACACUUUUGAAGGGAAAGUGUUGAUAAAUAUAUUUUUCCUUAUAAAUAUAAAAAUAAAUAUUUGUCACCGAUACAAUAAAAAAAAUACACAAGACAAAUAUUCAUAAAAAAUUGGAUUAUUAUUUUUCAUUGAUAAACAAUCUAUGACACAAGAUAUAAACGGAGAAAUAAUUGUCACUAUUAAGCAGUAGUAAUUGACACAAGAUAUAAAUACUUUCAUGUACUUGAAGCUGCUCAUUCUAACCAAGGAAUUUCACUACUUCAACACCAAUGUUGCUCAGAUUUGUUUGCAAACUCAUGCUUACUUUGCUCAGAACCCUUCUCAACAUCCUCUGACCCCUCCAUGAAGUUACAGAAGCAUCAUAGCUCGAUAUCAAACAGUCUAAUGCAUAAACAGAUAUUGCGAUGAAGUAUUGUGCGAGAAACAAUGAGACAGAAAACGUUUCUGACUAUUAUAAUUCUUUGGACCCUCGAUAAAAUACAGCCGGUCAUUAUUUUCUAGAAUCAUGAGAAUUUUAAAACAAUUCUUCAAUUGAAGGAUUUAAAUCUUUUAAUAAAAUAAGCUAAGGUGGAAGGUAUGAUUGAAAAAGUGGAAAUUAUAUAGUGCUACAAUCAAAAUAAUUAACGGCUACUAACUAGCAUAACCUCUAGGAAUUAGAAAGCUUCUGCCUUGUUUAAAGAUACAAACAUACAAUUACACAGACUUGGGUCUAAUUACUUGGCGCCUGCGUCUAACAGAAGGUUGUUCCUCUACUUUGUAAGAAUAAGAAGGUUGUUCCUGAUCAUCUUCAUUUUCAUUGUUAUAGCUUCUGCCUUCACCUCCAAUUGCUAUAGACACAUAAGAGUCUUGAGCAAUGGAUUUUAACUUACCAAUUUCCUUACUAAUGCUACUACCCCAAUAUUCCCAUACAGGUAAGACCCCACACCCCUUUAUCCCCUCCUUUGACCACCGUAAUUCUUCAUUGGGACCUUGAAGUAUGAAUUGAAAUGAUAAGUUGCAAAUAUCAUAACUUCCAUUUUCUUGUCUGUUGUAACCAUGCCAACAUAUCAAUGCAUGAUCUGAAAUUAAUGUCCCAAAAUAAUUGUGACUAAUGCGACGUCUGUUGACUUCUUUUCCGCGUUCAAAAAUAAUACAAUGAAGGGCAUGGUGGUUAAUAGUGAAGCCCUCAGAAAAAAGGAUGCGAAAUAUGAAACCACAUAAGACAGAUUUUUUAAUAGGAAGAAUAGUUAUUGAAGCCUCGAUUGUCUGAAAAUCAAAAAUUAUUGGAUCUUGUGCUCCUGGCAGGAAAGAGAAAGCAUUUAUCACACCUUCUUCAAUAGAAGGGUCUUCAAAGAUCUUUCGUACCAUGUUUUCAAGCAAUGACCAUUGUGUGGAAUCUGUGUCCAGAUAAGUGCAAUUAACAGCUUUAAAAUAUAACAGGGAUGGCGGAAGCUCUAUCAGAGUCACGAGGUUCCUGCAAUCAUCUAAUUCAAGCCAUUCUAGCAUUGAAUGGUUUUGGAUAUUCUCUGGGAGACUUUCUAAGUUGCAACACUCUUUCAAUUUUAGCUGUUUUAAAGAUUGUAUGCCAUCAAGGAUGGACCACAAACUUAAUGCAUUAAUUUCUGUGCACCCUGAAAGGUCUAGUUCCGUAACAAACCCAAGUCCAUGAUCAUCUGAUAACUUAUUCCCGACAAUGUUAAGCUUGUUACAUCCAGUUAGGUUAAUAACAGUCAUUUUGGUAUUACGCCAAAUUGAUGAAGACAAUUGAUGUAUAUCAGUGCCACAUAAGGAUAACUCUGUCAUUUCCUCCGAUGUCACUGAAAAUUCCAUGAGAGAUGAACAACCAUCAAGUUUAAGGUUUCGGAGAGAAUUUGAAUGAAUAUUGGUUUUAAGGCUUUCGAUCUUUAUGCAACCUCCUAAAUCUAGUACAAUAAGUCGAGGGAGAGAAAAGAUGUAUGGAUGGAGAUGACGCAGGCUUUCACAUUUAUAGAGAUGUACUUUUUCAAGAUUUGUAGCCCUAGAUAAGUUUGGGAUCUCAAUCAGAUCUUUGGAGUAAUUAAGGCUAAAUGUGAUUAGAUUCACAAGAUUCUGUAACAAGAAAUAAACAUGCAUUAGUGUCGAUUAAAAGAGAAACAAAACCUAGUUAAGAAUAAACAGAAGCAUGCCAUACUAACUCUGCUGCAUUUUUGUGAAUGACAUUAGACUUCCUCUUGUACCUCUAUAAAGUUAACAAGUACAUCCAAACAUUUUGUACCUGAACUCCAUCCCAGAGCUUUUUAAGCUUGCUAUGAGUCAUGUGAAGCUCUACAAGCAUUUCAGCACAAAAGUUUGAUGGAAAAGACUCAGGACAAUAUCCCUCCCAUUGAAGGUACCUCAAUUUAUCAGAAAGCCACUCGAGACCAUCAGGAAAAUGUACAUUGCAUAUGCUCCCGUUGGAUAUAUUAUGAAUCUUAAGAUAUCUUAAGUUUGUCAUCCUUCUAAAGGAAUCAGACUUCAAGUAUAGAUCCCCAACUUCCGUACUAUCGAAUAUUAUACCUUCCCCAACUUUAGUUCCCUGACAACGAAAAUUAGAUUAAUAAUUAGGAAAGGCUGUCAUAUGUACUUUCAUUGUUAUAUUUUAUAAUUACAUACAUAUAUUUUCAUAUAUAAGUGAUUGCAUCCUCUGCUUACCUUGUUUUCUUUUAAUAUAUCAGAUAUUUCUUUAGCUCUCCACAACCGACUUCGUUUUCCAGGGUUUAUAGAUUCUUGAUUAACAAUCUCCUGUCCCAUUUCUUGUAACAAAUCAUGUAUAUGUAAACUAUCAACUUCCAACUUGGCAUACGAGUGCCAAUUUGGUUUUACUUGUAUGAGAGCUUUAUCUAAAACGACUUCUAUCCCACUUUCUGCAAAGAACUCACAAGCUUCCAACAAAUCUAUUAUAAAUAUUUUAUGCUCUCCUCUCAAAAAGCAUGCAAUAUCUAAAAAUAUGGCCUGUUGAAAAAAAUCUAAGUCAUCAUAACUGAAUUUUAACACGAUAUAAAUUUUCCUAUUUGGAAUCUUUUCGAGCUUUUUCAAUUCAUUUUCCCAUGCCUCUUUGCCUCUUGAGCGGAGAUUUACCCCUAAAACUUUUAAAGCCAGAGGAUUGCCUUUGCAAUAGGCAAUUACACUUUCUGAUAGAUCUUCAUAUCCAAUUUUAGGCUGUUUUCCUCCGAAGGCAUUCAAACUGAAUAGCUGAAGAGAAUCAUGAUUGUUCAAUUACAUGACCUCAUAUAUCUCACAUUUACUGAACUGACUAAAUAUGUGCUUAUCUCUAGUUGUCAUAAUGACCCUACUACCCGGUCCCAGCCCAUCAAUUUUUAGGAUAAGAUCUUCUAUUUGCUCUAAGGUUUCUAUGCCAUCUAACACAAUUAAAACUUUAAUUUUACGUGAAAUCCUUCUCUUGGAUAAAGUGGCUUCUAUGUAGGAUGCAUCAGGAUGAAUAUUUUCCUCCUCUAACAAUGAGGAUAAAAGUUUAUUGUAUACAACAUUAUGUCCAUACCUGUUUGAUUCAUCCAUUACAUUGAGAAAGCAACAACCUUCAAAUUGAGAAUAAAUUAUAGCAUAUGAAGCCCUAGCAAGAGUGGUCUUUCCUAUGCCACCCAUGCCCCAUAUUCCAAGGACUCUAACAUCAUUUGAGCCAAUUUUCAGUAUUGACUCAAUUUGGUCAUAAUUUUUCUCAACUCCAACAAGCCCCUUAAUUUCACAUGGGUAACUAAGAUUCAGUUUCCGCAAAACAUAUUUAACAAUGUCCUUAAUGAAGUCCGAUUCGAUCCUAGAAUAUGAAAGAGAGGAAGAAGAUUUUACAAGUCUAACAAAUACAAUAGUAGAAAAGUACAUCUAUAUGAUUAGUAUACAAAAUUUAUAGUCAAUAAGGUGACAGUGGCUUAGUAGAGCAAGAAACAAACAAAAAUUAGAUUUGGGGAAACAAAAUACCAAAGACACAAGGUAAUAAAUGUAUAUUUUCUAUGACUUUGGUAGUUUUCAGAAGGUUGUGUCAACUAUUACUUUGGCCUGUUUAUUUUCAAAAAUUAUUUUUAGUGUUUGUUUUCUAAAAUUUAUGUUCAUUUCCAAUUAAGAAAAUGGAGAUGAAAGACUCAUGUAGUAAAUAGCUGUGCUAUAUUAGAAAACAAAACAUGUAAAUGAUAUGAAAUAGUUUAUUUAUUUUACUUCGAAUUUUUUCGUUUUGUUUACCUGUAAUUUUGAGAGUCCCAACCAACUAAACUAGCUGCCUCAGUGAGUGCAUCUUUCCAUUCCUGUAACUUGUCAUUAUUGCUCUUCAAAUCUCGCUUAUGUUUUGCGAAGGCUUGCUUGUAACUCCCAGUCUGCUUCCUCACAUGUGAUGGAUCUAUGUUGUAAAAAACAGGUAUCACAAUCUGUACCAUAUAUUUCUUGCAUUCAAGAAUCUUUUUGAGCUCAUUCAAGCACCAUUUUGAGGAAGCAUAGUUUUCUGAGAAGAUGACAAUAGACACAUGUGACUCCUCAAUGGCUCUGAUGAGUGCUGGCGAUAUCUUAUCUCCUUUUUGAAG